This 475-nucleotide ribosomal RNA is filed under the name Micadina sp. 1 SB-2021. Its description in RNAcentral is "partial large subunit ribosomal RNA". It matches the Rfam family "Bacterial large subunit ribosomal RNA", at positions 1920 to 2610 of the family's 2925-position model. Lineage: Eukaryota; Metazoa; Arthropoda; Insecta; Phasmatodea; Lonchodidae. The record is from RNAcentral.
UUAUUAAAUGGCCGCGGUAUAUUGACCGUGCAAAGGUAGCAUAAUCAUUAGUUUAUUAAUUGUAGACUUGUAUGAAUGGUUUAACGAAAUAUUAACUGUCUCAUAUUUAUAUUUAAAAUUUAAAUUUUUAGUUAAAAUGCUUAAAUUUUUUUAUAGGACGAGAAGACCCUAUAGAUCUUUAUUUAUAAAUUUAAUAUAUUUUUUGGUUUUUAUUUUUAUAUUAAUUUUGUUUAUUUUGUUGGGGUGACAUGAAUAUACAAUUAACUAUUUAUUAUAAAAAUCAAUUAUUUUUGUUUAUUUGACCUUUUAUUAUUGUUAUAAGACUUAGAUACCUUAGGGAUAACAGCGUAAUUCUUUUUGAGAGUUCAUAUCGACAAGGGAGAUUGCGACCUCGAUGUUGGAUUAAGAUUAUUAUUAGGUGCAGAUGCUUAAUUAUUAAGUCUGUUCGACUUUUAAAUUCUUACAUGAUCUGAGU